CCUACGGGUGGCAGCAGUGAGGAAUAUUGGUCAAUGGACGAGAGUCUGAACCAGCCAAGUAGCGUGAAGGAUGACUGCCCUAUGGGUUGUAAACUUCUUUUAUAUGGGAAUAAAACGUUCCACGUGUGGGAUUUUGUAUGUACCAUAUGAAUAAGGAUCGGCUAACUCCGUGCCAGCAGCCGCGGUAAUACGGAGGAUCCGAGCGUUAUCCGGAUUUAUUGGGUUUAAAGGGAGCGUAGGUGGAUUGUUAAGUCAGUUGUGAAAGUUUGCAGCUCAACCGUAAAAUUGCGGUUGAAACUGGCAGUCUUGAGUACAGUAGAGGUGGGCGGAAUUCGUGGUGUAGCGGUGAAAUGCUUAGAUAUCACGAAGAACUCCGAUUGCGAAGGCAGUUCACUGGACUGCAACUGACACUGAGGCUCGAAAGUGUGGGUAUCAAACAGGAUUAGAUACCCUGGUAGUC
Molecule: ribosomal RNA, 460 nt
Filed under: uncultured bacterium
Lineage: Bacteria
Description: partial 16S ribosomal RNA
Rfam family: Bacterial small subunit ribosomal RNA
Source: RNAcentral